AUGACACGAGCGCGGGGACUCUCACACGACGACAUCUCCACGGUGCGUAUCUCGGUGGACGGCCGCAGCCGCCUCGGCAUGCCGGCGGAGUAUGCCGGCAACCUAGUCCUCUGGGCGUUCCCGCGCGCCAGGGUGUCCGACCUGCUGGGACAACCGCUGAGUCACGCCGCGCAGCUCAUCCACGACGAGGUGGCUAGGGUGGCGGACCCGGCCUACUUCCGGUCGUUUGUGGACUUUGCCACCUCCGGCGUUGUCGAGCAAGAAGGACUUGCGCCGAGCUCCGAGAUCAACAUGAGGGACGUGCUGUGCCCAGACUUGGAGGUGCACAGCUGGCUCACCUUUCAGUUCUACGACAUGGACUUCGGCACGGGCACCCCAACGUACGUCAUGCCGUCCUACAUCCCGGCGGAAGGGCUUAUCUUCCUUGCGCCGUCCUACAUCGGGGACGGCAGCAUCGACGCCUUCGUGCCUGUCUUCCAGGACAACCUCGAGGCCUUCAAGCAGUGUCUCUACUCCAUCGAUCACCAUGACAAAGAGUAG
This 540-nucleotide ribosomal RNA is filed under the name Triticum aestivum (bread wheat). RNAcentral's name for it is "partial small subunit ribosomal RNA". The record is from RNAcentral. Lineage: Eukaryota; Viridiplantae; Streptophyta; Magnoliopsida; Poales; Poaceae.